Molecule: small nuclear RNA, 133 nt
Organism: Myotis lucifugus (little brown bat)
Lineage: Eukaryota; Metazoa; Chordata; Mammalia; Chiroptera; Vespertilionidae
Product: U11 spliceosomal RNA
Source: Ensembl
AAGAAGGGCUUCUGUCGUGCAUGGCACACGCAGAGCAGCCUGACUGCUCCACGUGCAGAGUGAACACCAAGAGAUUCGGAAGCAUAAUUUUUUGGUACUUGGGCAGCUGGCAAUCAUUGGUCCUGGAACCCAC